Klebsormidium nitens is the source of this 74-nucleotide non-coding RNA. NCBI's taxonomy places the organism in Eukaryota, Viridiplantae, Streptophyta, Klebsormidiophyceae, Klebsormidiales, Klebsormidiaceae. The record is from Rfam.
CGGGGUGUAGCGCAGCCUGGUAGCGCGUCUGUUUUGGGAACAGAAUGUCAUAGGUUCAAAUCCUGUCACCCUGA